Molecule: ribosomal RNA, 353 nt
Filed under: uncultured bacterium
Lineage: Bacteria
Description: partial 16S ribosomal RNA
Rfam family: Bacterial small subunit ribosomal RNA
Source: RNAcentral
CCUACGGGAGGCAGCAGUGGGGGAUAUUGCACAAUGGGGGAAACCCUGAUGCAGCGACGCCGCGUGGGCGAAGAAGUAUUUCGGUAUGUAAAGCCCUAUCAGCAGGGAAGAAGAAAUGACGGUACCUGAGUAAGAAGCACCGGCUAAAUACGUGCCAGCAGCCGCGGUAAUACGGAGGAGGCGAGCGUUAUCCGGAUUCAUUGGGUUCAAAGGGUGUGUUGGCGGUCCGGAAAGUAAGCGGUAAAAGCCCGAGGCUAAACCCCGGCGAGCCGUUGAAACUGUCGGACUAGAGUCGGAGAGAAGUACGCGGAAUGCGCGGUGUAGCGGUGAAAUGCAUAGAUAUCGCGCAGAAC